This 403-nucleotide ribosomal RNA is filed under the name uncultured bacterium. RNAcentral describes it as "bacterial SSU rRNA". It matches the Rfam family "Bacterial small subunit ribosomal RNA", at positions 29 to 420 of the family's 1533-position model. The record is from RNAcentral.
AACGAACGCUGGCGGCGUGCCUAACACAUGCAAGUCGAGCGCGAAUGGAGCAAUCCUAGUAGAGCGGCGCACGGGUGCGUAACACGUGGGUAAUCUGCCUCAAAGCCCGGGAUAACCUGCCGAAAGGCAAGCUAAUACCGGAUAAGCCUACGGACUCUUCGGGGUCUGAAGGAAAAGGUGGCCUCUGUAUACAAGCUAUCACUUUGAGAUGAGCCCGCGGCCCAUCAGCUCGUUGGCGGGGUAACGGCCCACCAAGGCAACGACGGGUAGCUGGUCUGAGAGGACGAUCAGCCACACUGGAACUGAGACACGGUCCAGACUCCUACGGGAGGCAGCAGUGGGAAUUUUGCGCAAUGGGCGGAAGCCUGACGCAGCGACGCCGCGUGGGGGAUGACGGCCUCGG